RNAcentral lists this ribosomal RNA (253 nucleotides) under uncultured bacterium. RNAcentral's name for it is "partial 16S ribosomal RNA". It matches the Rfam family "Bacterial small subunit ribosomal RNA", at positions 524 to 776 of the family's 1533-position model. The record is from RNAcentral.
UACGGGGGGGGCAAGCGUUGUUCGGAAUUACUGGGCGUAAAGGGCUCGUAGGUGGCCAACUAAGUCAGACGUGAAAUCCCUCGGCUUAACCGGGGAACUGCGUCUGAUACUGGAUGGCUUGAGUUUGGGAGAGGGACGCGGAAUUCCCGGUGUAGUGGUGAAAUGCGUAGAUAUCGGGAGGAACACCAGUGGCGAAGGCGGCUUCCUGGCCUGUUCUUGACGCUGAGGCGCGAAAGCUAGGGGAGCAAACGGG